RNAcentral lists this ribosomal RNA (253 nucleotides) under uncultured bacterium. RNAcentral's name for it is "partial 16S ribosomal RNA". It matches the Rfam family "Bacterial small subunit ribosomal RNA", at positions 524 to 776 of the family's 1533-position model. The record is from RNAcentral.
UACGGAGGGUGCAAGCGUUAAUCGGAAUUACUGGGCGUAAAGCGCACGCAGGUGGCUGAGUCAGUCGGUUGUGAAAGCCCUGGGCUUAACCUGGGAAUUGCAGUCGAUACUACUUAGCUCGAGUAUGGGAGAGGGCAGUGGAAUUCCCGGUGUAGCGGUGAAAUGCGUAGAUAUCGGGAGGAACAUCAGUGGCGAAAGCGACUUCCUGGACCAAUACUGACGCUCAUGUGCGAAAGCGUGGGGAGCAAACAGG